Molecule: long non-coding RNA, 2328 nt
Organism: Serinus canaria (Common canary)
Lineage: Eukaryota; Metazoa; Chordata; Aves; Passeriformes; Fringillidae
Source: Ensembl
AUGGUUAAAGCCCCAGUUUUUGUGGCUGAGGUGGUGCUGCAGCAUGGGGACAGCCGCCUCUACCGCCUCAGGGCCCAGGAGGAGGCCACAACCUGGUUCCAUCUGCACGUUGUGGAGCCGCUGUCCCCACCAGAAAUUGUGGGCAACUCCUUGGUGAAGGCAGGAGGCAACACCAAACUGGUUUGCACCGUGGUGCGAGGGACAGCAGAUGCCUACUGGUGGAAGAAAAAUGGGGAGCUGCUCGUGGGAAGUGAGCGCAUCCAGUUUGUGGAGAACACCACGCUUCGCAUCCUGCGGGUGUCCAUCAGUGACAGUGGCUACUACACCUGCGUGGUGAGCAACGCCGUGAGCCAGAAUGAGACCUCCUUCCUGCUCAAGGUCCACCACUCUGCCCAUGUGGUGCUGCCUGUGGUCCUGUCCUGUGUCAUGGUCGGCUCACUCGCAGGUGUCUUUGUCUGGUACCAGAGAAGGAAGAACUCAUGUGACAGCUGUUGGUAAGAUGCCUCCAGCCCCCUCUUGGGGUGGCCCCCUUGCUUCAGCCAAAAUUUUCUUUCUAUAAGCCCAAAUUUCUCCUUGGCUGGAUCCAAGUGAGCUGGAGAAGUAGGAGAGCUCAGGGCACUAUUCCAGCUUCUCUAGUAAGAGGCUGCUCUCCCACCCUGGAGGCUCAAAGGGUUUGCUGUGCCGUCUAUUUAAUCCCCACUCUGGAAAUAUUCCUGAUUCCUCCACUCAGAGCCUGACAGUCCUGGUUACCUUAGCUCUGAAUAAUGGGUAGGCUUUUGAGUACUCCAGAGAUUUCUGGGAAGUGAGUGAUUCUCGAGAUUUUUUCAGAAAUCGCUCCCUCUCUGUGACCACAAACACAUUCAGGCUGUUCACUGGAGCUUCUUGGAGGUUGAGGGUAAGGAUGGAGAGGAUAAGGAUGGAAAACCCAUCCUAUGAGGUGGUAGGUUACAAACAAGGAGCUCUCAGGAGCUCUCUUGUGCAGUCAGAACCCAGGGAACUCCAGGCAGAUAAAUUGGCCAGAGUAGCUCUUGAGAUCUGGAGUAGGGCAGAAGUCCAGACCUCCUGGUGCUGCCACUGCCAGUGUGGGACACUGAGCUAGCUGAGGCCCUGGGGGGGGUCCAGGUGCCCAGAACAUGGCUCACGUGGGGCCCUCUCUUCUUGCAGGUAGUGCUGGGUCAGCCCUGCUGCUACCCUUCCCUGGUGACCCUGGUGAUGGGUACUGCUGGGAGUGCCAGGUGUCCCAUCCCAUCCCAGCCUCUCCUGUGCUCACCUGUGAAAUGUUCAAGCUGCCAGAACCUGCAAAUAUUUUUUUGGAAAACACUGGUUUGGACUAUUUCUAUGUUGUCCUGUUCUUCCUGUUGUGCAUCCCUGGGGAGAGGGAUGUACCUGCUCCCUCCAUCCUCCUGGCUUCCUCCAGAGGCCUCGAUGUGCUCUUGGCUCUGGAAGAGCCACUGUCCCUGCUGGGCAAAUCCACAGUCCUGGGGCUGCUGGGAGGUGCCUCCUGGGGGCCUCCUGGUGUCCUGCUGUGCCAGGGGUUUGCCAGGGGGCUCAGGGGCUGAGGCUCUGGGCAUCCUGCUCCUUGUGACCCUUGGAGGGAGGAAAGGGCAGGAUUGUGCUGGGUGUGCAGCUGGAGGGAGAGGAGGCAGCAGAAGCUGGCAGGGAAUGGGGGAGCAGCAAAGGAGUUAGGUUUCUGAAAGCAGAUCCCAAGGAAAUCCCUGCAGCUGGCUGAAGUGGGGGUGCUCCUGAGCCCAUCUCCUCCAGCCCUGGGCUCUGCAGGAUCGGGGGAUAUCCCUGGGGACAUCCCUCCUCUUCCCAGCACCAGUGCUGGUGCCAGCUUGUCCUUCCCAUUUGCUGUUCCUGCGGGUGACAUCGGCCUUGGCCUGGCUGGAUACAGGGAGCCCUGCUCCUGUCCCCUGAUGUCCUCUCCCUCCCCGUGCUGCCUCUGCAGGGCUUUCCUAGGCUGUGCUGUGGAGGGGAUGUUACUCUUUCGGCUGAGCCUGGAGGCAGAGCAGACAUCCCCAGCCUGGAGAGACCUGGAUCCUUUCCCAGGUGCUGGACCCCACUGUUGGUCACCCUGGAACAUUUGCAUCCCCUCUUAAUCUGAGGGGGAAAUCCCAGGUCCAGGGCCCUCCCUGAGCCAGUCCCCAGCACCUCUGGAGCAGGCUGGGGACCUCUCAAAGGCAAACUGGAAAAUUGUGGGAGAGAUCACUGGGAGAUUCAGGGGCUGUUAGCAAGGGGCCAUCUCAGCCUCGGGUUUUGUGGAGCCAUUAAAGGUAGCAGAGGAGUUUGGGUGGAAUAAAUGAGAUUCCAGUCCUGUUGGAAGCUGCA